CAGUAGCCACGGUAAUACGAAGGGUGCAAGCGUUAAUCGGAAUUACUGGGCGUAAAGCGUGCGUAGGUGGUGGUUUAAGUCCGUUGUGAAAGCCCUGGGCUCAACCUGGGAAUUGCAGUGGAUACUGGAUCACUAGAGUGUGGUAGAGGAUAGUGGAAUUUCCGGUGUAGCAGUGAAAUGCGUAGAGAUCGGAAGGAACAUCUGCGGCGAAGGCAGCCCCCUGGGCCAAUACUGACGCUCAUGCACGAAAGCGUGGGGAGCAAACAGGAUUAGAUACCCCAGUAGUCCCUGUCUCUUAUAC
This 301-nucleotide ribosomal RNA is filed under the name uncultured bacterium. RNAcentral describes it as "partial 16S ribosomal RNA". It matches the Rfam family "Bacterial small subunit ribosomal RNA", at positions 509 to 807 of the family's 1533-position model. The record is from RNAcentral.